UACGUAGGGGGCAAGCGUUGUCCGGAUUUAUUGGGCGUAAAGAGCUCGUAGGUGGUUCGGUAAGUCGGAUGUGAAAUCUCCAGGCUCAACCUGGAGGGGUCAUUCGAUACUGCCGUGACUAGAGUUCGGUAGGGGAGUGUGGAAUUCCUGGUGGAGCGGUGAAAUGCGCAGAUAUCAGGAGGAACACCCGUAGCGAAGGCGGCACUCUGGGCCGAUACUGACACUGGAGGAGCGAAAGCGUGGGGAGCGAACAGG
RNAcentral lists this ribosomal RNA (255 nucleotides) under uncultured bacterium. RNAcentral describes it as "partial 16S ribosomal RNA". It matches the Rfam family "Bacterial small subunit ribosomal RNA", at positions 524 to 776 of the family's 1533-position model. The record is from RNAcentral.